Long non-coding RNA from Macaca fascicularis (crab-eating macaque), 842 nucleotides. Lineage: Eukaryota; Metazoa; Chordata; Mammalia; Primates; Cercopithecidae. The record is from Ensembl.
AAGUUUACUGCUUUUGUAAAAUAGCAAUGAUUAUAUCACCUAUCUCUACAUAACAGAGCUGGUGCUUCAAGGAUCAAAUGAGAUUAUGUAUGUGAAAUCACCUUGAAAAGGACCAUGAAUGUAAGACACAAUUGCAGCUGCUGUGAAGCAAAUUUUGGAACAAUGGAUUGAUUCGUUGUAUAAAAGGGGUCAUGAUCUUUCCUUCCAUAAAGAAGGAUCAGGCCAAGAUGCAGAGACAAGGGACCUAUGCUGUGAACUAUUUCACAAGAAAGGAAUGGAGGCAUUGUAUGGGCCACUCCUUGAGGGAAACAAGCAUGAGGCAGGUCAGGAAAAGAAGGAAAGAGGCAGAACUUCCAAAGAACAGAUUUGUCAAGAAGAGGUAGGCACCUCAAAUAAAACUGCUCAGCAAUGGAAUGCUACCGUGUAAUAAAAAAGAAUGAACCACUGAUACACUCAACGACAUGAAUAACUCUCAAACUAUGCUGAAUGAAAAAAGCUGGACACAAAUGAAUACAUUCUGUAUGAUUCCAUUGGCAGAAAACUAGAAAAUGAAAACUAACCUGUAGUGACAAAAAACAGGUCAGUGGUUUUCCUUAUUACAAAGGUCCAUGAGGAAACUUUGGGAGGAAGAUGAAUAUGUUCAUUAUCUUGGUUGUAGUGAUAGUUUCAUGGGUGUGUACGUAUGUCUUGUAAGAUUGUGCACUUUAAAUACGGGAAGUUUAUUGUAGGUCAGUUGUAUUGCUCUAUGCAUGUUAUAUUCCUCUAUAUACAUAUUAUUUCCAGAAAAACAUAAUUUCCAGAAAAAACUGCUGAGCAACAUAGCACAUAAACAGGCAAUGGGC